Molecule: ribosomal RNA, 274 nt
Filed under: uncultured bacterium
Lineage: Bacteria
Description: partial 16S ribosomal RNA
Rfam family: Bacterial small subunit ribosomal RNA
Source: RNAcentral
AUACAGAGGGUGCGAGCGUUAAUCGGAAUUACUGGGCGUAAAGCGCGCGUAGGCGGCUUAUUAAGUCAGAUGUGAAAUCCCCGGGCUCAACCUGGGAACUGCAUCUGAUACUGGUAAGCUAGAGUUUUGGAGAGGGAAGUAGAAUUUCAGGUGUAGCGGUGAAAUGCAUAGAGAUCUGAAGGAAUACCAGUGGCGAAGGCGACUUCCUGGCCAAAAACUGACGCUGAGGUGCGGAAGCGUGGGUAGCAAACGGGAUUAGAAACCCCAGUAGUCC